This 1123-nucleotide ribosomal RNA is filed under the name uncultured bacterium. RNAcentral describes it as "bacterial SSU rRNA". It matches the Rfam family "Bacterial small subunit ribosomal RNA", at positions 47 to 1162 of the family's 1533-position model. The record is from RNAcentral.
AUUGAUUUUAUGCUUGCAUAAAUGAUCUUUGGAUUCGGAGCGAGUGGCGAACUGGUGAGUAACACGUGGGUAACCUGCCCCGAAGCGGGGGAUAACAUUUGGAAACAAGUGCUAAUACCGCAUAAUUAGUUGGAACCGCAUGGUUCCAACUUGAAAGAUGGCUCUGCUAUCACUUUGGGAUGGACCCGCGCCGUAUUAGUUAGUUGGUGAGAUAAAAGCCCACCAAGACGAUGAUACGUAGCCGACCUGAGAGGGUAAUCGGCCACAUUGGGACUGAGACACGGCCCAGACUCCUACGGGAGGCAGCAGUAGGGAAUCUUCCACAAUGGACGAAAGUCUGAUGGAGCAACGCCGCGUGAGUGAUGAAGGUUUUCGGAUCGUAAAACUCUGUUGUUAAAGAAGAACAAGUGUUAGAGUAACUGUUAACACUUUGACGGUAUUUAACCAGAAAGCCACGGCUAACUACGUGCCAGCAGCCGCGGUAAUACGUAGGUGGCAAGCGUUGUCCGGAUUUAUUGGGCGUAAAGCGAGCGCAGGCGGUUUUGUAAGUCUGCUGUGAAAGCCCUCAGCUCAACUGAGGAAGUGCAGUGGAAACUACAAAACUUGAGUACAGAAGAGGAAAGUGGAACUCCAUGUGUAGCGGUGAAAUGCGUAGAUAUAUGGAAGAACACCAGUGGCGAAGGCGGCUUUCUGGUCUGUUACUGACGCUGAGGCUCGAAAGCAUGGGUAGCGAACAGGAUUAGAUACCCUGGUAGUCCAUGCCGUAAACGAUGAAUACUAGGUGUUGGAGGGUUUCCGCCCUUCAGUGCCGCAGCUAACGCAUUAAGUAUUCCGCCGGGGGAGUACGACCGCAAGGUUGAAACUCAAAGGAAUUGACGGGGGCCCGCACAAGUGGUGGAGCAUGUGGUUUAAUUCGAUGCUACGCGAAGAACCUUACCAGCUCUUGACAUCUUCUGCCAACCCAAGAGAUUGGGCGUUCCCUUCGGGGACAGAAUGACAGGUGGUGCAUGGUUGUCGUCAGCUCGUGUCGUGAGAUGUUGGGUUAAGUCCCGCAACGAGCGCAACCCUUAUUAUUAGUUGCCAGCAUUUAGUUGGGCACUCUAGUGAGACUGCCGGUGAUAAA